AAUUAUGCCCGCGGCCCUUAUCUGUGGAUUCCCCAAGCCACCUCCACACCUCAAACCACUGGCCGCCGCAUCUCCGCCCGCUGGCCGCCGUCGCCGCAUCUCUGCCCGCUGGCCAGCCAUGUCUCCUUCCACGACUGGAUCAACAUCACCCCCGUCCAAUGGAUUUAUCCCGUUCACCGGCGUUCGCGAUCGACGAGCUGCAGAAUCUCACAACGCUCGAGCUCCAGGCCCGCUCCCCGGCGAGGUGCCUGCGUGGUUCAUCCGCGGUCUCCUGCCGCCACUCGCCGUGGUCGAGCUCCGCUAGGUCGCAGUCAAUGGCACGCUCCCGCCCAAUCUCGGCUCAUCGGGGAUUCUGACUAGGCUUCUCCUCUUCGGGAACAGCCUCUCGGUCCAGGUUCCAGAAACGUUGCUCUCCGUCAAAGGCCUUCUAUCGUAUAAAUUUGUUAUAUUUACUUUAUACUUUCUGGGGUCCUCUAAGUGGCGAUUGUGCUUUUGACGUUUAUGAAUACAGCAAUGACAUUCAUAUUUGUCAAGGCAUUAUUACUGAAGAGACAUAAAAAUUAUAUAUGUGAAACUUUUGUUGACCUAUUAUUCCCACCUCAGAACAAAAGAUUAGAGGAAUAUGAUUUGUCUAUGUAUAUGGUUCGAAGAAUUGACCUGAUGUAGAAGUAUAUGAUUUUGUGUGACUAGCCGUGAGUAAAUAUUGUUGUUUCGACUGGCCGUGAGUAGUGCUGAGGACUUGCGGGUAUUUCUUAGGUAUUCUUUUUACUCAGGUUUGACCAUAGAAACGAACAAGUCUUAUGACCAUCUGUACUGUAGUAUUGCUUAUACUAAUUUGUUGAGAUUUCAGGAUUUCAUAAUCAGGGGAUGAAAUAAAUUCCCACUUUACAGGUAUAUGAUUGAUCAAAUUAUUUAGUUAGUAAGUCAAUAUAUGUGUUAAUGUUAAGCGUUUAUUUCCUUAUAAGUAAUGGGUUCAUCAAGGAACGUAGAGUUCAGAUUGUUGGGCUUAGGAAAAUUAUCUACUAAGCUGUCUUUGAUUUACUCCUCAAAAGCAAUGCUUAUGUUGAGACAUGGCCUUCUAUCAGGAUGAUGGAACAUGCCAUGGUGAAGAAUCACAGUCUCUACUGGAAGUAUCUCAACAGCCAGAGCUUAAAUGUAGAGGUUCUGACUGGAGAUCACCUGCAAUCAUUCUUGGACUUGAAUGCUUGGAGAGCACACCAUGCCACGUUAAGUGAGGAAAAACGGUUUGUUUCUGUACACAAGUCGUGAUGAUGAUCUAUGGAACCUUAGAAGCGAUAUUCUGAAGUAAGCCCUUGGUGCCGCAGUGGCUGGAGCUGAACAUUCUAUCGCAUAGACGCGGGUUCGAGUCCAAGUUCUCCCUUUUUUCAUUUUUAAUCUUUUUCCUUUCCUAUCCUUAUAUUACCUAUACUAAUAAAAGUCGUAUCACUUCUGUCCGUACGUCGUAGUUUUUUUUAGCAACCCAUACAUCAUAAUUAAGUAUCAUUGAUGAUCUGGGUCUUACACGCA
Molecule: long non-coding RNA, 1527 nt
Organism: Hordeum vulgare subsp. vulgare (domesticated barley)
Lineage: Eukaryota; Viridiplantae; Streptophyta; Magnoliopsida; Poales; Poaceae
Exons: 2
Source: RefSeq, a predicted model, not a curated record